GGGGGGUGUCCAUCCCGCGCGGGGUAGAAGCGGACGGGGCAGGGGGGUGCGUGCCAUUGCAGCCUGGCCCCUAGAGAGCCCGAGGGCUCGAGCAGUCUCCCCUCGCGGCUGCUGCGACGUGCAGCGCUGUUGUAGCGCAAUGACACCGAGAAACGGGCAACACGUCACAGAGACCGCUCUGACGUUGCAAAGACAUCCCUGCCCGAACAGGGGAGGAAGACACACCGCUGCACCGAGUGCAGGAAGGACUUCAUCAGCUGGCAAGGCGUGUCGCACCACCGGUGUGUGCGGAGGGGGCAGCAGCCACACCGCUGCACCGAGUGUGGGAAGAGCUUCAGGCAGCCGUCCAGCCUGGCCCGGCACCACCGCAUCCACACAGGGGAGAAGCCAUAUCCGUGCUCUGAGCGUGCGAAGAGCUUCACCUACUCCUGCAGCCUGUGCCGAACACCGGUGCAUCUCGCAGGGGAGAAGUGACGUGGGUGCUCUGAGUAUUGGAAAGGCUUCACCCACCUCUCCCACCCAUCCUGGAAUCAGCACGUCCACACCCAGAAGCAUCCCUAGUUGUGCCGGCAGUGCAGGAAGGGCUUGGAGAUGUGUGCCUGCUCAGCACCCAGCAGGGGCUGCGUUCAGACAAGCACCCUCAUGCUGGUGGCCUGCAGAAGGAGUUCCCCCAGGCUUUGUCCCUCGUAGGGCACAGCGGGAGUCCAGAGCCCAGAGGCUGGCCCCCAAGGUGUCAUUGUCGGGGAAGGGGGUUAAGAGGAAACGCCUCAGGCAGAGGUCAGCCCCGAUGUAGGGGAAGGAGAGGAGGUGAUCUUUGCAUCAGCCUUGGAGCCUGUGCAUUCCCCAUCAGUCUCUAACAGUACUCCCAGGGGAAGAAGUGCGUUCACGCUAGGGUGCCCUCCCCCACACAGCUGACUUCAAGUGACACCCGGGCACUUUUCUUCGCUGCCUCCCAGCUUUCUCCUUCCUCCUGGUCCAGGGGUUCUGGUGUAUGAGCCCCUGAGUUGCAGGGAGGAGUGCAUUUAAGGCUGGGGAAGCAUUCCCUACCCUCCUCCCUGACCUCGCCUUUCCUCACCACCACAUCACCCCUCUCCCAGACCUGCCCAUGCCCAGUGGGGUCUGCAAGGAGCUGCUUCUGCCACCCCCGGAGCCUUUUUGGCCUAUUUUGCCCAGCCACGAGGCCUUUUGGAAGAGCGGGAGGGAAGGCUGCAGCCUCUGCGGGAGGAGCGCGGCGAGCGCUGCCCAUUUGUGUGCAAGGGAAGAGGAAUCCAGCCCGGUGAUUUUCUCUGGGGGGCCGAGCGCAGAUCAAUCUCGCCGUGUGCUGUGAAGCCUAAAGGACACCUUGAAAAGUUCUUUUCUUCUGUCAGGAACCGGCGGACGGCUCCCUCCCCGCGGCUCCUCGGGGACUUCCUGACGGGUUCCCGACAGCAAAGGGAACGUGGUCCCCAGCGGCCGCCGGGCGCCGGCCUCCUUCCCCCCAGCCAGCCCCAGGUCGCAGGGCAGCGCCUGGGGACCGGACGCCGGCGAGCACCGGGCUGCCCUGGGAUGCGGCUUUGCCAACGCUCCUCAAUCCCCUGGGCCUGGGUCCCCCACAGCUCGUCCCUCCCCUGCAGCGCCCCGCCAGCUCACCCACGGCUCUCGUGUGCCCCUUGCACCCCCUUCAUCUCCGUGGUGCUAGUCAGUGCUGCUUCUCCUCCUGGUGAUGUAAUCUUUUUAUGUAAUCUUUUUUAUGGUAUAUCUAGCUUUUGCAAACUAUAUCUAACUGAAUACUUAAGGCAACUUACUGGUGCUGGGAGGGGUGUGGUAUGUGUGUGUUAAGAGAUGCUUGCAGAGCACAGCGUGUGGGAUGCGGAGGAUUCCUGGAAUGCCUCCCUAACACCAGCAGGAUAAUGUCUCCCUGACACUUGUAAGAUAGCAAGAAGUUGAGAAAAAGGUCUCAUUAUAAUGCUAAAAAUCACACCCCUGGGCAGAGCAAAAGUAUGUUAAUGAAACAUACAUGUAUGCAAAUGAAAUACAUGGCUAAACCAUAGGUAUAGAGACAUGCUCAGUAGAGAACGUCUUAUGUCAGUGGCUUGUAACCAAUCACUGAGCGAUACACUUGCAAACAUAUGUAUAAAAGGUACCCAAAGGUAGAAACCGGUGGUGCUUGCUUUGCAAAAGAUUGCCAAGCACCCCUCUCUGCGCAGACUUGAAACAAUAAAGAUUAAGUUGGAUCCUC
This is a long non-coding RNA of Alligator mississippiensis (American alligator), 2218 nucleotides long. RefSeq lists it as uncharacterized. The record is from RefSeq and is a predicted model, not a curated record. The transcript has 2 exons. Lineage: Eukaryota; Metazoa; Chordata; Crocodylia; Alligatoridae.